Molecule: microRNA precursor, 122 nt
Filed under: Gossypium hirsutum (cotton)
Lineage: Eukaryota; Viridiplantae; Streptophyta; Magnoliopsida; Malvales; Malvaceae
Description: miR7500 stem-loop (ghr-MIR7500)
Source: miRBase by way of RNAcentral
AGUUAAACAAAUCGAGUUAUUCGAGUUAAUCGAGUUAUCGAAUCACCUCGAAUUUUUUUUUUCGAAUUUCGAGUUCGAAUCAGUUGAGCUUUCGAAAUUCGAAUAACUCGAAAUAUUUCGAA